AUGCGAUGAGCCGUCUGUGGCUUGGCCACAUAUGCGCUAGGGAGGUCAAUAACGCAAGGAGCGGACCUUGGUAAGUUGUGUGAACCUGCUUAUCACAUACGACAGUAUGCCCUUUCCCUAUCUGAUGAUAGGGAUUUUUU
This 140-nucleotide small RNA is filed under the name Streptococcus pantholopis. RNAcentral's name for it is "MarS sRNA". It matches the Rfam family "MarS sRNA". Rfam says of the family: In MarS deletion strains expression of mga and several Mga-activated genes is reduced. However, the lack of MarS increased bacterial dissemination and tolerance towards oxidative stress. Lineage: Bacteria; Bacillati; Bacillota; Bacilli; Lactobacillales; Streptococcaceae. The record is from Rfam by way of RNAcentral.